Molecule: unclassified non-coding RNA, 1990 nt
Filed under: Hevea brasiliensis (rubber tree)
Lineage: Eukaryota; Viridiplantae; Streptophyta; Magnoliopsida; Malpighiales; Euphorbiaceae
Source: RNAcentral
AGAUGCAGUUUCAGAUGAUUCACUAGAGGAGAGUUCUCAUCGGCCACUAAGGAGGGUUCACAGAAGCAAACAGGCCACAUAUUUUGAAAAGGAAGAUGCAAUCUCAGAUGAUUCGCUGGAGAAUAGUUCUCUGCAGCGGAAUAGGAGGAUUUCUGGAGCCAGCCAAGCCAAAUUUAUUGAGAGGCAUGAUGAAGUUUCAGAUGAUAUGCUAGAAGGAAGUACUUACCAGCAGCACAGAGGAUCUUAUCGGAACAGGGAAUCAAAGUUUAUUGACAAGGAGGGUGCAGUUUCUGACGACCUACUGGAGGACAGUACUUGUCAGCAGCGCAUGAGGAUAUUCAGAACCAAGCAAGCCAAAUUUGUGGAGAGGCAAAAUGAAGCUUCAGAUGAUUCAUUGGAGGACGCAAUUCAGCAGCAACGGCGAGUGAUUCCUAGAAGCAAAAGGACCAAAUUUGUCAAGAGAGAAGAUGCAGUUUCAGAUGAUUUGCUGGAGGAUGAUACUCAUCUGAAGCACAGGCGGAUACCCGGAAGCAGGAAGGCCAAAUUAAUAGAGAGAGAAGAUGUUUCAGAUGAUCUGCAGGAGGAUGAUGGUCAAUGGCAGUCAAGGAAGACUCCUAGAGGCAAGCCGGCCAAAUUUAUUGAGAGUGAGGAUGGAUCAGAUGAUCUGCAGGACGUUACUCAUUGGCAGUCACGGAAGACCUCUCGACGCAGGCAAGCUGCAUCUAUAGAAAGGGAAGAUGUUUCAGAUGAUCUAGAGGAGGGCAACACUCAUUGGCAGCCAAAAAAAGACUCAUAGAUGCAAGCAAGCCAAGUUUAUUGAAAGGAAAGAUGUUUCAGAUGAUCUGCAUGAGGAUGAUACUCAUUGGCAGCCAAGGAAGAUUCCUAGAGGCAAGCAAGCCAAACUUAUUGAGAGGGAAGAUGCAGUUUCAGACGAUUUGUUGGAGCAUAAUUCUAUUAAGAAGCAACGGAGGAUUCUUAGAAGUAAGCAGAGGAAACCAGCGACGCUUCGCAAAAUGAAGCGAGGGGCUGUUCAGCAUGUGAAACAAGGGACCUCUAGGCUAAAAAGGAGAGAGAAUCUCCAAUCAAUCAAACAAGAUAAGCAAAUGAAGCAAGAAACUCCUCGGCUUUGGAAUGCUAAAGGUGAGCGUAAUACAAGACAGUUCGAAUCACGUGUUGAAGAAGAGCUAGAAGGUGGACCCAGUACACGCCUUAGGAAAAGGCCCUCAAAGCCUUCAAAGGAGUCAGAAACAAAGCUAAAAGAUAAGCUGCAAAGCAGUAGGAAGAAAGUGAAGAGUUCUUCAGCUGGGAAGCCUCCAAAUGGCCAGAAGAGUGUGAAAAAUAAGGAUGAGGAUGCAGAAUAUCAGUGUGACAUAGAGGGGUGCGCCAUGAGCUUUGGCUCAAAACAUGAGCUAGCAUUGCACAAAAGAAAUAUUUGUCCUGUCAAAGGGUGUGGAAAGACAUUCUUCUCACACAAAUAUCUGGUGCAGCACCGUCGAGUCCACCUGGAUGACCGCCCCCUUAAGUGCCCCUGGAAAGGAUGCAAGAUGACGUUCAAAUGGGCAUGGGCACGGACUGAACACAUUAGGGUUCACACGGGUGCUCGUCCUUAUGUUUGUGCUGAAGAAGGUUGUGGGCAGACAUUCAGAUUCGUGUCAGACUUCAGUCGUCACAAGCGGAAGACUGGUCAUUCAGUGAAGAAAAGCAGGGGUUAAUUUAAUUCAAGAGAAAUAUAAUUUAAUUGCUAAUGGAAGUGUUGUUCAAUUGGCAGUGUAGGGCUAGGUUUAAAAAGAUGAUAGGUUUAGGUUUUCCCUGUAAUUGUCAUUCAGAUUAACAUUAAUUCUCUUCUCAUUUAUUCACUGCAAUCUGACCAAUUGCUUGGAUCUUGAAAGAGAUUAAUCUCCAAUGAAUGUCACUGGUUGUAUCUCCUGUUUUUUGACUGCCAACGUAACAUUGUUGUAUUUAUAAAAGUUGAAACUUUCCUUGUGCUGCA